GGUUGGGGAUGGGCUCGCGGCCUAUCAGCUUGUUGGUGAGGUAAUGGCUCACCAAGGCGUCGACGGGUAGCCGGCCUGAGAGGGUGACCGGCCACACUGGGACUGAGACACGGCCCAGACUCCUACGGGAGGCAGCAGUGGGGAAUAUUGCACAAUGGGCGAAAGCCUGAUGCAGCAACGCCGCGUGAGGGACGACGGCCUUCGGGUUGUAAACCUCUUUUAGCAAGGAAGAAGCGAAAGUGACGGUACUUGCAGAAAAAGCGCCGGCUAACUACGUGCCAGCAGCCGCGGUAAUACGUAGGGCGCAAGCGUUAUCCGGAAUUAUUGGGCGUAAAGAGCUCGUAGGCGGUUUGUCGCGUCUGCUGUGAAAACUGGGGGCUCAACCCCCAGCCUGCAGUGGGUACGGGCAGACUAGAGUGCGGUAGGGGAGAUUGGAAUUCCUGGUGUAGCGGUGGAAUGCGCAGAUAUCAGGAGGAACACCGAUGGCGAAGGCAGAUCUCUGGGCCGUAACUGACGCUGAGGAGCGAAAGGGUGGGGAGCAAACAGGCUUAGAUACCCUGGUAGUCCACCCCGUAAACGUUGGGAACUAGUUGUGGGGUCCAUUCCACGGAUUCCGUGACGCAGC
This 625-nucleotide ribosomal RNA is filed under the name Microbacterium sp. Its description in RNAcentral is "bacterial SSU rRNA". It matches the Rfam family "Bacterial small subunit ribosomal RNA", at positions 217 to 852 of the family's 1533-position model. The record is from RNAcentral. Lineage: Bacteria; Bacillati; Actinomycetota; Actinomycetes; Micrococcales; Microbacteriaceae.